This is a long non-coding RNA of Myotis lucifugus (little brown bat), 1676 nucleotides long. RefSeq lists it as uncharacterized. The record is from RefSeq and is a predicted model, not a curated record. The transcript is spliced from 4 exons. NCBI's taxonomy places the organism in Eukaryota, Metazoa, Chordata, Mammalia, Chiroptera, Vespertilionidae.
UGAUUUACAUUAUGCAAAUAUUUUGCAAUUUUAUUUAAGGGACUUGAGCAUCUGCAGAUUUGGGAAUCUACAGGGAGUCCUGAAAUCAAUCCCCAGUGGAUACCAAAGGAUGGCUAUACUGUUAGGCAUUUGGGUCUGAUUGUCCUUUAUGCCAAUAAGCUUAUGUCCCACUAGGGGGAGCCAAAUAUACAUAUAAAUAAGCAUAACUGUUGCCCGUGCGGGGAUAGAAGUCGCUGUGGAGGUGUGUGUGGAGGAGGGUAUCAGAAAGAAUUAGGCCCCAGGACUGGUCAGGAAGAAUCUUCAUAGGGAAGGUGCCUCUGAACACAUUUCCGGGUAAGGAGGCUGCUGAGGUGAGCAUGGAACUGUUAGGUUUUUGUGUGAUGCCAACUGGAGUGACCGAAAAUGAGAUCUUUGGCCCUGGCCUUGUUUCCCGCACAUGCUCAGUCUUGUUGACUGACCUGGUCUGAGGAACAAAGAUCCCCCUGCAGGUUCAACGUGGAUGCCUCAGGACAACAUACCUGUGGCCCAGGCUUUGAUGCGAUACUUCAGGUUGGACCAAAUGAUGUUUUCUUGGGAGAAGCAGAAGACGCCGAGCCGGCCUCCUCGCAUGGUGGUGUCUAUGGUGACUCCAGAGUCAGCCACCAACUCGGAGCCUUCAUAGAAUCGCACCCUGUGGACAACACAGCAGAGCAGACCCAUGAGGCUCAAACCAAGGCUGCCGUAUCAGGAGCCUGUAAUCCAUGCCGCUUCGUAAACACACUGCAUAAGCUGGAGGAACGAGAAACAGGAGGGAGAGGCAGCUCUCAGCCCUCCUGUAUAAAGUUGGCCCCAUCGAGGAAACAGCUUCCAACAGUGUGCCUGAGAUGUACCCCCAAAUCUUCUCCACCUCUUGGAUCCUACUAGGACUGAUGGUCUCACCGCUAGAGCCACCCAGAAGUUAGAAGGUAGCUUGUACAUAGGAAUGAAGGCAAGGACCCGGGUGGACUCUACUGUUCUCUGACUUGAACACUAGCAAGAAUGCAACCAUUGCCACAUGGGAGACGAUGGAAUUUAAGAGGGCGAGGGCACAGGAUUGAGAUGAGUGACUUCACCCAUACCUUAAGCUGAAUGCCAGGUUCUGCAACAGCCCGGAACGGGGUGGCCUGCCAGUACGUCUGCUCUGUCUGCUUCCACAUGACCACGUAGAAGCUGGAGCUGUCCUGGUAACCAAAGAUGAAGCCGGCAUAGUCAUCAUCCGUCUGGGUAUUGACGUGGAAGGUCCCUUCGAAGUCAACUCCAUUAAAAGCCGUGUAUCCUGUAGAGAUCAGAAUACAAUUAGAAAAGCAGACAAAGCCACACGGGUAGCUGGGAAGAAUGAAUUCUACACAAGUGGUACUGAAGGCCCUGGACAUACCGACUGCCAGCCCGGGGUCGCUGUUCAUGGUCUGCACAAUCUCCAUGCCCUGCGGAGAGAGUUGAAGGAGUGAGGCGCAUUCUUCAAAGGGGCAGAGCGAGCCCCGAACCUCAGGCAUCGGGGGUGAGCAGCGGUCAGCGACGUCUGACCCCCAUGUAAAGAUUGCAUUAUCUGAGGGGUUGUUCUUCCUUGUUUGGGCUCAAAGCCGAAUAGAAAUAAUUUUGCUAAAACUGUCACUUAAGCUGACUCAAUAAAGCCUUAAUUGGAGAACAUACACUUCUAA